AUCCAACUGACGAGUCCCAAGUAGGAUUAAACGAGCGUCGUGGAU
Molecule: non-coding RNA, 45 nt
Filed under: Schistosoma mansoni
Lineage: Eukaryota; Metazoa; Platyhelminthes; Trematoda; Strigeidida; Schistosomatidae
Source: RNAcentral